GUCUCUUCCCAUCUUCUCCUUCAAUUCCAUUGCUCUUCCCAGCAUUAUAUAUUUCCCUCCCAUGUCCCGUUCGCAUCCAAACCCCAAACCAUCUUUCGGACUUCUAUGAAUAUGUACAGCAGAUCCACCUCUUCGCUGCCCGUGAUUGCAAAGACCCAUCUGACUUCCCCAGCCGCCGCCACAUGGGAUUUGACGGUGAGCAGUUGCGAUGACCCCUGCCACCACCGGAUUCAGUGGACGACGAGUUGCGCCAACCCCUUCUACAAUCAAGGAACAAUGCAAGAUCUGAUCCUAAAUUUGUGGGCUGUUGUGGAACCGUGAGCAUCUGCUGUUCAUAAGGUGACAGAUCAUGUUAGUGUUUUUUUCCAAGAUGUUGUCCUAAGUCUCUGUUGACGCCUAGGCAGUAGAUAAUUGGAUUAACUUUUGGUGUGUUAUCCCUUAAUUGUUACUUGAGAGGAUGUAGAAAAUGUAUGCAUGUGCAGCCCUAAUUUCUCCGUGCAUUAAAUUAAAAAGAUACAAGCUACUACCGUUGAUUUUGGCUAUACGUGCCCUCUAUGUCUCUGUCAAUCUUUUUCAUAGAUGUUGAUGUAUACACAAGACACUAAUAAUCUCGCUCCUUCGUUAAAGCUGUACUGAAGUCAUUGUCUUCCUUCAUGAUUCCAGUGAACAGAUCAUAAGCAUCAUGCUAGGUGGUAAACAAAAUAACUCAAGCAAUUUCAAAGAUAUGUGAACUCUGAUAUUUUUUUUCUUCUUCUAAUUUUCGUUUUCUUACCAAAGAUUACUUCCCACACACGCAACAAUGUGAAGGUAUAUGCAAGUGUACAUUUGUACUGCUAAUCAUGAUGGCUCGCUUCCUUUCUUUGCUGAAAUUUCACAAAAGUUUCUCUAUACUUCCCUUUGUAAGUUUUCUGUCUAGAUUUCAGAUAAAGAGCAUCUACUAUAUAUGGAUGCAUAAAUAGACUAUUCUACAGUUUUAUCUUUCAUAUGGUUGAUGGCAGAAAAUGGAAACUAAGAACAGUAUUCCACAAAUUAUGAACUUUUUUGUGGUGAUAUAAUUAUGAACAUUAUGGUCUCUUAAGAAAAUGAAUUAACUUUGUUGAACAUUACAUUGUUAUUGCUCAUUUUAUUUCUUAGUCACCCUGAAGAGGCCCUGGUGUCACAAGUUAACCCUAAUUUCAAAAACAUAUUAGUGUACACCCGA
Triticum aestivum (bread wheat) is the source of this 1201-nucleotide long non-coding RNA. RefSeq lists it as uncharacterized. Lineage: Eukaryota; Viridiplantae; Streptophyta; Magnoliopsida; Poales; Poaceae. The record is from RefSeq and is a predicted model, not a curated record. The transcript has 3 exons.